Molecule: ribosomal RNA, 340 nt
Filed under: uncultured soil bacterium
Lineage: Bacteria
Description: bacterial SSU rRNA
Rfam family: Bacterial small subunit ribosomal RNA
Source: RNAcentral
AGAACGAACGCUGGCGGCAUGCCUAACACAUGCAAGUCGAACGAGACCUUCGGGUCUAGUGGCGCACGGGUGCGUAACGCGUGGGAAUCUGCCCUUGGGUUCGGGAUAACAGUUGGAAACGACUGCUAAUACCGGAUGAUGUCUUCGGACCAAAGAUUUAUCCGCCCAAGGAUGAGCCCGCGUAGGAUUAGCUAGUUGGUGAGGUAAGAGCUCACCGAAGGCGACGAUCCUUAGCUGGUCUGAGAGGAUGAUCGAGCCACACGUGGACUGAGACACGGACCCAGACCUCCGUACGGGACGGCGAGCGAGGUGGGGAAUAGUUGGACAAGUCGGGACGAAA